Molecule: long non-coding RNA, 255 nt
Filed under: Nicotiana benthamiana
Lineage: Eukaryota; Viridiplantae; Streptophyta; Magnoliopsida; Solanales; Solanaceae
Description: long non-coding RNA (NBEN_LNC035947)
Source: RNAcentral
AAUGACAAUCGAUUGUGAGUAAGACAGUGAGCAUCAGGUUUUUCAAACCUGCAUGACAAUCGAUUGUGAACAAAUGACAAUCGAUUGUGAUGAGGAAGUGUCCAUCAAAGUUUUUCAAAAACUCAGAAUAAUCGAUUGUGAAGCUAAUGAAAAUCGAUUGUGAAGAGACAGUGUCCUUCAAAUUUUUCAAAGUGACAAAAUGAUCGAUUGUGAACUUAUGACAAUCGAUUGUGUUGAGGCAGUGACUUCCAGACU